UACGUAGGGGGCGAGCGUUGCCCGAAUUUACUGGGCGUAAAGCGCACGCAGGCGGCUCCGUGAGUCUGGUGUGAAAUCUCACGGCUCAACCGGGAGGCUGCACAAUAUACUGCGGGGCUCGAGGACGGGAGAGGAGAUUGGAAUUCCCGGUGUAGCGGUGAAAUGCAUUGAUAUCGGGAGGAACACCAGUGGCCAAGGCGGAGCUCUGGCCCGUUGCUGACGCUGUGGUGCGAAAGCUGGGCGAGCGAAAGGG
This 253-nucleotide ribosomal RNA is filed under the name uncultured bacterium. RNAcentral's name for it is "partial 16S ribosomal RNA". It matches the Rfam family "Bacterial small subunit ribosomal RNA", at positions 524 to 776 of the family's 1533-position model. The record is from RNAcentral.